Non-coding RNA from Ferroplasma sp. Type II, 162 nucleotides. Lineage: Archaea; Methanobacteriati; Thermoplasmatota; Thermoplasmata; Thermoplasmatales; Ferroplasmaceae. The record is from Rfam.
CAGUUGGAGGUAAACCAAUCUAUGAAAAAACCUGAAAUCAUAGUAGCAAAUCGGACGCACCGGUUGAGUAAUCACCGAUGUGAAAGCUCCGAGGAUAAAGCACCCGUGAGCGAAAGCUCAGGCCGUACAGGGGUGCGAGCAAGCAACCUGGCCACAGCAUUA